ACCCAGUGCACCCACUAACCCUAAUCAGUUUUCCCUUUUCCCUUUCCCUUUUCCAAGUGCAUUCAGCCAUUCACCCACCAUUGCCACCAAGCUCCAUAUUCCAGAAACCACCGAGCCACCCACAGCCAUCCACAACAGCCGCGACCACCACCGCGUUCUGCUUCUCGCUGAGCCCGCCUCGUCGUCGCCGAACGUCGCCUCGCUCGCGGAGCCUGCCUCCUCGUCGCCGAGCUCGCCGAGCCCGCCUCCUCAUUCGCCGUCGCCGAACGUCGCCGACACUGGGUCCUCACUCGCCGCCGAUUUUGGAUUCGGAUCCACCUAUUAAGCUAUGGCAACUCCCUCACCCGAUUCAAUCAAUGAUGGCAUUUGCACUUUUGUAGACAUAUUCCUGGGUUGAACUGCAUAUUUUUUCUUUUGUUAAUCUCCUUAUAUGUUGUAUUGUGUUGUGUUCUUUCUUCCUGGCAUAAAGUCACUCUUGUUAUAUGGUGAAAAUGUCUAGAAUAAGGUAAUUGUUAAGAAUGUAGUUUAGAGGAUUUUUUAUUUUUAUUGGUACUAUUUACAUUUAAAUAAUAGAAGAACUUUGUAUUAAUUACUAUGAAUAAAUUAUCUCUAUUAGUAUU
This is a long non-coding RNA of Arachis stenosperma, 620 nucleotides long. RefSeq lists it as uncharacterized. The record is from RefSeq and is a predicted model, not a curated record. The transcript has 2 exons. NCBI's taxonomy places the organism in Eukaryota, Viridiplantae, Streptophyta, Magnoliopsida, Fabales, Fabaceae.